This 74-nucleotide transfer RNA is filed under the name Bacteroidales bacterium. RNAcentral's name for it is "tRNA-Arg". It matches the Rfam family "tRNA". From Rfam's summary of the family: Transfer RNA (tRNA) molecules are approximately 80 nucleotides in length. Their secondary structure includes four short double-helical elements and three loops (D, anti-codon, and T loops). Further hydrogen bonds mediate the characteristic L-shaped molecular structure. tRNAs have two regions of fundamental functional importance: the anti-codon, which is responsible for specific mRNA codon recognition, and the 3' end, to which the tRNAs corresponding amino acid is attached (by aminoacyl-tRNA synthetases). tRNAs cope with the degeneracy of the genetic code in two manners: having more than one tRNA (with a specific anti-codon) for a particular amino acid; and 'wobble' base-pairing, i.e. permitting non-standard base-pairing at the 3rd anti-codon position. Lineage: Bacteria; Pseudomonadati; Bacteroidota; Bacteroidia; Bacteroidales. The record is from RNAcentral. RNAcentral also lists the same sequence under 1 other name.
GGUUCGAUAGCUCAGCUGGAUAGAGCAACUGCCUUCUAAGCAGUCGGUCCGGGGUUCGAAUCCCCGUCGAAUCA